UAUAUAUUCCCUCGGUCCCAAAAUUCUUGUCUUACAUUGUCUAGAUAUGGAUGUAUCUAACACUAAAGCUUAACUAGAUACAUCUGUAUUUAGAAAAAUUUAAGACAAAAAUCUUGGGACGAACGGAGUAUUUC
Molecule: non-coding RNA, 134 nt
Organism: Triticum aestivum (bread wheat)
Lineage: Eukaryota; Viridiplantae; Streptophyta; Magnoliopsida; Poales; Poaceae
Source: Rfam